RNAcentral lists this long non-coding RNA (1022 nucleotides) under Neogale vison (American mink). Its description in RNAcentral is "Neovison vison (American mink) lncRNA (ENSNVIG00000010185.1)". Lineage: Eukaryota; Metazoa; Chordata; Mammalia; Carnivora; Mustelidae. The record is from RNAcentral.
CAGGAGGCUGGCUUAAGCAGUGGCUGCCACCAGAGGAGCUCUGCAGGUAGAGCAGGUGCUUUCCUGACAUGGUGGCUGUGAAGGAAGAGGACAAGAGGAGUCAGGAUGCCACGGGACUGCUGGCCCCAUCGAGAGGAUGGAUGGUGCCUGUUAAUGAGAAAGGGUCAUGGGGGAGAUGGGGGCUUGGGAGUCCGGCUCAUUUUACCUGUAUGCAUGUGGAUCUGGGAGCAGGGUCUGGGUCUCACAGAAGGCCACCUGUGCGCCCCACCCUGGCUUCCCUGGAGAAUUCCCUGGAGAAAUGUAUGCAUACACGCCCCAGACGUUCAAGGGCACUGACACCCGCACAGCAGGAGACAGAGAGAUCACCUCUGGGUUGUUUUCACACUAGAAGAGUACACAGCAACGAGGGGGGACAGACUAUGGACACCCUCGGCCAUGUGGCUGGACCCCACAGACCAGGGAUCAAAGAAGGCAGCCAUUUCUGUGAAGUUCAAAAGCAGGCAAGGUGGUAUUCUGUAAACCAAGGAUGCACGCCUGGCAGGGACUCUCUAGAAAGGCAGGGACACGGUGACCCCCAAGAUCAGGGUCGUGAUCACUACUGGGGCCAAGAUCAAGAGGGUGGUGGGGAGGGGGGGAAAUGCAACUCCCAGGGUGCAGUGUUCGCUCUUCCCCUAAGCGGGGCGAAUGUUUGUUCAUCCCACACUGAUAUUAAACCGACAAGUGCACUUAGGCCCAUUUCUGGAGGCACGUUACACUCUGCCGUUAAUAAAGGUUUAAAAGUAGAAGAAUCAUCAAUGUACACAACCAUAUAUACACAAUAGGGCAUCUCAGAGUCAGAUCAUCUGGGGGGAGGCUGCCGUGGAAGAUUCACAGGAGAAUUAAGCUGUGGACGCCCUAGUGGGCCACAGAGGAGGGGAACCUAGGGAGAGAGGAGGCAGAAGUGCCUGGGGGUCCACCCUGGGGGAGAUAUGCUGAACAGCCCUGCCCUCCCGCUGUCCUACUUUCUCCCUCUUCCUCACAAG